RNAcentral lists this ribosomal RNA (424 nucleotides) under uncultured bacterium. RNAcentral describes it as "bacterial SSU rRNA". It matches the Rfam family "Bacterial small subunit ribosomal RNA", at positions 355 to 796 of the family's 1533-position model. The record is from RNAcentral.
UGGGGAAUCUUGCGCAAUGGGGGAAACCCUGACGCAGCCAUGCCGCGUGAAUGAUGAAGGUCUUAGGAUUGUAAAAUUCUUUCAGCGGGGACGAUAAUGACGGUACCCGCAGAAGAAGCUCCGGCUAACUUCGUGCCAGCAGCCGCGGUAAUACGAAGGGGGCUAGCGUUGCUCGGAAUUACUGGGCGUAAAGGGCGCGUAGGCGGACAGUUAAGUCAGAGGUGAAAUCCCAGGGCUCAACCCUGGAAUUGCCUUUGAUACUGGCUGUCUUGAGUAUGGGAGAGGUAAGCGGAACUCCGAGUGUAGAGGUGAAAUUCGUAGAUAUUCGGAAGAACACCAGUGGCGAAGGCGGCUUACUGGCCCAUUACUGACGCUGAGGCGCGAAAGCGUGGGGAGCAAACAGGAUUAGAUACCCCCGUAGUCC